GCUCACCCGGACCAUUCAAAUUCAUCAUACCUAGCUCUCUACCUGCCGAUCUUGUGUAUAGGACUUGGUCUGAAUCCUUUAAAAUCGUAGGUAAGGCAAGACUAGAACAGAAGUCUCCUCUGUCCCCUACUUCACUACUGUUAAAAUCAUUUUCUAUUUCAUUGAGACUAUAUUAUUACACAACGAAUGAGAUAAUGCAGGAUGGAUCAUGGUCAAUGGUAUGAGUCAGUUCUAGACUACAGCUGUUCAAAGUUUAUCAUGGUUUUAUAUUUCUUAUUCUUUGGGGGUGUAGAUGAUGAAGCUCUGUAGAAUGGUAAGAAUACUUGAGAAUAGUGUAAGACCCAAGGCUGAAUGUCUCCGUUCCAAUUCUCCAUCUUCCCCUCCAACUGACCCAAUAACUAAAGAAGUUCCACUUGACCAAGUUUUACCCCAGCUCUCUCACCUGCCUUCUGCCUUAUUCCUUGUCAACUUUCUUGAUUUUCUCAUUCACAUGGCUUCUGAUCUUUUUAUUUUGUCUCUAUUUUACCCGCUCCUUCAAAUUUGGUAAUUGAUAUAGUUUCUCCCACAUAAAUCAUUUCCCCCAGGUUUUCAGAACAGAGAUCCAAAUUUUCUCUAUGAUUUUAUCCAAUUUCUGUGACUCUUGGAAACUAUGAAGCCCUCUUUUGCUUUCCAUUUAUUCCACUGGUUUCUGUAUGACUAUAACACAACAAAAUAUGGAAUUGCUUGUAUUUAUUAUAGAAUUAAUCAGCAUCAAAAAAAUGAAUAUAGGGCUGGCACAGUGGCUCACACCUAUAAUGCCAGAACUUUGGGAGGCUAAGGCAAGAGGAUCGCUUGAGGCCAGGAGUUCAGAAACAGCCAGGGCAAGAUAGUGAGACCUCAUCUCUACAGAAAUCUUAUAAAAUUAUCUCAGCAUGCCUAUAUGUGCCUGCAGUCCAAACAUUUUGACUUCUGUAUUACUGGUAAUUUUUCUAUCUUGUUGUCACUCUCACUUGCUUGCUUUCUUGCUUGCUUGUUCUGACUUGAAUGUUAUAUGGAAAGGCAGGUGGGGCAGGAGUGGAAGGAGUCCACUAGCCAACAACAAGUGAGAAGUUAACUCCUUAAUUCAACACUCUUUAAGAAGGUGAAUUUUGCCAACAACCAUUUAAGUAAGCUAAAAAGGAGAUUCUUCCCAGUUGACCCUUGAGACGACUAUUAUCCUAGCCAACACCUUGAUGCAGCCUAAUGAGAGACCUUGAAGUAGAAGCCCCAGAUAAGCCAUGACCA
RNAcentral lists this long non-coding RNA (1263 nucleotides) under Homo sapiens (human). RNAcentral describes it as "non-protein coding lnc-FSHB-8:1". Lineage: Eukaryota; Metazoa; Chordata; Mammalia; Primates; Hominidae. The record is from RNAcentral.